This 819-nucleotide ribosomal RNA is filed under the name uncultured eukaryote. Its description in RNAcentral is "SSU rRNA". It matches the Rfam family "Eukaryotic small subunit ribosomal RNA", at positions 629 to 1426 of the family's 1831-position model. The record is from RNAcentral.
CGGUGUUUAACUGGCGUGAUGUGGGACGUCCUACCGGUGGGCUUAGCCUCGCGAGGGGCGGCCCAACUAAUAUCCCGUCGCGGUGCUCUUUACUGAGUGUCGAGUCGGGCCGGUACGUUUACUUUGAACAAAUUAGAGUGCUUAAAGCAGGCUAUCCUCGCCUGAAUACUGCGUGCAUGGAAUAAUGGAAUAGGACCUCGGUUCUAUUUUGUUGGUUUUCGGAACCCCGAGGUAAUGAUUAAUAGGGACAGAUGGGGGCAUUCGUAUUGCGACGUUAGAGGUGAAAUUCUUGGAUCGUCGCAAGACGGACAGAAGCGAAAGCAUUUGCCAAAAAUGUUUUCAUUAAUCAAGAACGAAAGUUAGAGGUUCGAAGGCGAUCAGAUACCGCCCUAGUUCUAACCAUAAACGAUGCCAGCUAGCGAUCCGCCGAAGUUCCUCCGAUGACUCGGCGGGCAGCUUCCGGGAAACCAAAGCUUUUGGGUUCCGGGGGAAGUAUGGUUGCAAAGCUGAAACUUAAAGGAAUUGACGGAAGGGCACCACCCGGAGUGGAGCCUGCGGCUUAAUUUGACUCAACACGGGAAACCUCACCAGGCCCAGACACCGGAAGGAUUGACAGAUUGAUAGCUCUUUCUUGAUUCGGUGGGUGGUGGUGCAUGGCCGUUCUUAGUUGGUGGAGCGAUUUGUCUGGUUAAUUCCGAUAACGAACGAGACUCUAGCCUGCUAAAUAGGCGUACCUUAUGGUAUCGCGAAGGCCCCCGGCUUCGGCCGGUGGGUUUUUACUACCAACGUACAAACAAAUCUUUUUAGAGGGACAGGCGG